GACGAACGCUGACGGCGUGCUUAAUACAUGCAAGUAGAACGCUGAAGAGAGGAGCUUGCUCUUCUUGGAUGAGUUGCGAACGGGUGAGUAACGCGUAGGUAACCUGCCUUGUAGCGGGGGAUAACUAUUGGAAACGAUAGCUAAUACCGCAUAACAAUGGAUGACAAAUGUGAUUUAUUUGAAAGGGGCAAUUGCUCCACUACAAGAUGGACCUGCGUUGUAUUAGCUAGUAGGUGAGGUAACGGCUCACCUAGGCGACGAUACAUAGCCGACCUGAGAGGGUGAUCGGCCACACUGGGACUGGGACACGGCCCAGACUCCUACGGGAGGCAGCAGUAGGGAAUCUUCGGCAAUGGGGGCGACCCUGGCCGAGCAACGCCGCGUGAGUGAAGAAGGUUUUCGGAUCGUAAAGCUCUGUUGUAAGUCAAGAACGAGUGUGAGAGUGGAAAGUUCACUCUGUGACGGUAGCGUGUCAGAAAGCGACGGCUAACUACGUG
This 497-nucleotide ribosomal RNA is filed under the name uncultured bacterium. Its description in RNAcentral is "partial 16S ribosomal RNA". It matches the Rfam family "Bacterial small subunit ribosomal RNA", at positions 28 to 507 of the family's 1533-position model. The record is from RNAcentral.